RNAcentral lists this ribosomal RNA (85 nucleotides) under Rafflesia keithii. Its description in RNAcentral is "partial 26S ribosomal RNA". It matches the Rfam family "Eukaryotic large subunit ribosomal RNA", at positions 1 to 82 of the family's 3401-position model. RNAcentral also lists the same sequence under 7 other names. Lineage: Eukaryota; Viridiplantae; Streptophyta; Magnoliopsida; Malpighiales; Rafflesiaceae. The record is from RNAcentral.
GCCAAGCCCCAGGUCAGACGGGGGCACCCGUUGAGUUUAAGCAUAUUAAUAAGCGGAGGAAUAGAAACUUACGAGUAUUCCCUUA